CUCAGAUUGAACGCUGGCGGCAGGCCUAACACAUGCAAGUCGAGCGGUAACAGAGAGUAGCUUGCUACUUUGCUGACGAGCGGCGGACGGGUGAGUAAUGCUUGGGAACAUGCCUUGAGGUGGGGGACAACAGUUGGAAACGACUGCUAAUACCGCAUAAUGUCUACGGGCCAAAGAGGGGGACCUUCGGGCCUCUCGCGUCAAGAUAUGCCUAGGUGGGAUUAGCUAGUUGGUGAGGUAAUGGCUCACCAAGGCGACGAUCCCUAGCUGGUCUGAGAGGAUGAUCAGCCACACUGGGACUGAGACACGGCCCAGACUCCUACGGGAGGCAGCAGUGGGGAAUAUUGCACAAUGGGCGCAAGCCUGAUGCAGCCAUGCCGCGUGUGUGAAGAAGGCCUUCGGGUUGUUAAAGCACUUUCAGUCAGGAGGAAAGGUUAGUAGUUAAGUACCUGCUAGCUGUGACGUUAC
Molecule: ribosomal RNA, 468 nt
Filed under: uncultured bacterium
Lineage: Bacteria
Description: bacterial SSU rRNA
Rfam family: Bacterial small subunit ribosomal RNA
Source: RNAcentral